Long non-coding RNA from Pogona vitticeps (central bearded dragon), 354 nucleotides. The record is from Ensembl. Lineage: Eukaryota; Metazoa; Chordata; Lepidosauria; Squamata; Agamidae.
GUCACAAUGAACCUCUCCUCCAUAGGCACAAAGGGUCAGCAAGAGGUUGCAGUAGCCAGUCUCUUUCCUUCAGGCUAGCAGCACCAAGAAGACAUCACCAUGAUGUGUCUCUACUCCAGAGACGGGCAACAUCAGGAAAUCAACAUGUCUCUCCAUGGAGACAGGCAACAUCAACAAGAAGUCACAAUGGACAGUCUCUUCUUUUCAGACAGAUUCUUUGGUUGGUUGAAAAGUCUAGCAUUCAUAGUAGGAGGGGAUCCCUAUUUUCAGGAUGAGUUUCUUGCUGUAUUGUUGUCUCUUCAGCCCACCUCUCGCCUCUCAUCUGUGAUACUCAGUGCUCACCAUUUGACAUGA